This 497-nucleotide ribosomal RNA is filed under the name uncultured bacterium. RNAcentral describes it as "partial 16S ribosomal RNA". It matches the Rfam family "Bacterial small subunit ribosomal RNA", at positions 28 to 507 of the family's 1533-position model. The record is from RNAcentral.
GAUGAACGCUGGCGGCGUGCCUAAUACAUGCAAGUCGAGCGAACGGACGAGAAGCUUGCUUCUCUGAUGUUAGCGGCGGACGGGUGAGUAACACGUGGAUAACCUACCUAUAAGACUGGGAUAACUUCGGGAAACCGGAGCUAAUACCGGAUAAUAUUUUGAACCGCAUGGUUCAAAAGUGAAAGACGGUCUUGCUGUCACUUAUAGAUGGAUCCGCGCUGCAUUAGCUAGUUGGUAAGGUAACGGCUUACCAAGGCAACGAUGCAUAGCCGACCUGAGAGGGUGAUCGGCCACACUGGAACUGAGACACGGUGCAGACUCCUACGGGAGGCAGCAGUAGGGAAUCUUCCGCAAUGGGCGAAAGCCUGACGGAGCAACGCCGCGUGAGUGAUGAAGGUCUUCGGAUCGUAAAACUCUGUUAUUAGGGAAGAACAUAUGUGUAAGUAACUGUGCACAUCUUGACGGUACCUAAUCAGAAAGCCACGGCUAACUACGUG